This is a long non-coding RNA of Dalotia coriaria, 640 nucleotides long. RefSeq lists it as uncharacterized. The record is from RefSeq and is a predicted model, not a curated record. The transcript has 2 exons. Lineage: Eukaryota; Metazoa; Arthropoda; Insecta; Coleoptera; Staphylinidae.
GUUCUGUUUAAAGUGUUCGUGUUUGGGGUGCUUGAGAUUUACUAGUUGUAACUUGAUAUACGUGUGCUUUUCGAGCUUUCGGGUCGAAGGCGAAGCGACCAACAGGUGUUGAACACACCAAGCCACAUGACACAUGGGAGCACACAUUAAGGUCUCUGAUGACUGAGAAGAUGAAUAAAAAGAAAUACGAAAAGGUGAUGGUGAUGGCAACCCAACAGACAUGUGCAGCCCAAAAACCAAAUGGUCAAUUACGAUGCAGUUUCGUGAGUCAAACCGAAAAGAAAUCGUGUUUUAUUCAAUUCGGAGCUGAGCUCGGUGAUCUUUUAUGUUGGUCCAAUUAGUUAAUUAUGUGCUCUAAUUUAAUUAAACGUUUAAAUGCUCGUAGCCGGGCAGGGGGGCACGCAAGUGCGAUGGAAUAUCAAAUUAGGCAAUUUAAAUUUUUCGGUAAAACCAACGAAAUAGGGCGCUGGGGGUGUGCGCUUGGCCUGUUUGAUUAACAAAACAUAGUCGUUUGUACAUACUUACUGUUGGUUUUCGGAAUUGAGAGUAAUUAUCGCGUCGAGUGUAAUGUAUAAUUUGUAAAUCAACAAGAUUGUAUCAAGCGUGUUAUUUAUUUUCGAGUAAAUUCGUACAAUUACCA